Lolium rigidum is the source of this 251-nucleotide long non-coding RNA. RefSeq lists it as uncharacterized. The transcript has 3 exons. The record is from RefSeq and is a predicted model, not a curated record. Lineage: Eukaryota; Viridiplantae; Streptophyta; Magnoliopsida; Poales; Poaceae.
CCUCCUCCGCCAGCGUCGUCGCGGAACCUUGGGUGGAGGGUGGAGCUGCGUCGACAUCACCAUCUCCGCGAGCGCGAGUGACUGCAACGAGCGUCGCCUCCUCCUCCAUUAUAUAAACAUAUAAUGGGAAGCAGGUUGCUAGUGUGUUCCCCCCGAGAAAAAGAAAAGGAAAAGGUGUCUUUAGCAGUCUGAAGAAAGCAGCUUAUUACUGGAUGAUGUGCAGCCUGGGAUGCGACUGAAGUCUGAUUAUG